UAGACAGGAGUGCUGCAUCUGGAUGGCAUGGCAGAGGGAAGCCCCAGCUGCCACUGCUCCAGGGACCCUUAUAGUUCCACGGUGAUGGGGAACAGAAAGAGGCUCUUCCAGGAAACAGCCUUGGGGACAAGGAGACCACACUUCUGGGUGAUUCGAAGAUCAGACAAGGCUCCUGUAAAAUGAACGAAUGAAGUGAAUGAAUGAGACGGAGUUGCACUGUUAGAGAUGGUGGCAGCAGUGUGAAUCAAAUGAAGUCCCGCAGAGCCGAGGACCAGGAGGUGCCACAACACCAAGGGGACAGGCCCCGCAGAACGCUGUGGGGAGGAAGACAUGACGCGACAGCCUCAAAGCACCCGGCAGAGCUCUCGCCUCCUUCCCUGUGAUUGCCAGUG
Molecule: long non-coding RNA, 392 nt
Filed under: Homo sapiens (human)
Lineage: Eukaryota; Metazoa; Chordata; Mammalia; Primates; Hominidae
Description: HSALNT0225771
Source: RNAcentral